RNAcentral lists this ribosomal RNA (604 nucleotides) under Arthroleptella subvoce. RNAcentral describes it as "partial 12S small subunit ribosomal RNA". It matches the Rfam family "Bacterial small subunit ribosomal RNA", at positions 284 to 1222 of the family's 1533-position model. The record is from RNAcentral. Lineage: Eukaryota; Metazoa; Chordata; Amphibia; Anura; Pyxicephalidae.
UAGACUUAGGAGCUGGCAUCAGGCACAGAUUUCUAGCCCACAACGCCUAGUUUCACCACACCCCUAAGGGUACUCAGCAGUGAUAAAUAUUGACCAUAAGCGUCAGCUUGACUCAGUCAGAGGAAAUAAGAGCCGGCCAAUCUGGUGCCAGCCGCCGCGGCUACACCAGUAGGCUCAAGUUGACAAUCACCGGCGUUAAGCGUGAUUAAAGAAAACUUGAUUAGGGAUAAAUUUAAAUUAUAGUAGUAAUAAGCUUAUUAUUUAGAAAAACAAAACGAAAGUUACUCUAACACACUUGAAUACACGACAGCUAGAAAACAAACUGGGAUUAGAUACCCCACUAUGUCUUGCCGUAAACUAUAUACCUACAACAACCACGCCAGGGUCUUACGAGCUUAAGCUUAAAACCCAAAGGACUUGACGGUGUCCCACCCACCUAGAGGAGCCUGUUCUAUAAUCGACACUCCCCGCUUCACCUCACCAUUUUUAGCCUCUCAGCCUGUAUACCUCCGUCGCAAGCUUACCCUAUGAACGUAUUAGUAAGCCCAAAGGUUCACCCACCAGCACGUCAGGUCAAGGUGCAGCUCAUAAAAUGGAAGCAAUG